UUCAUUACUUUUUCAUAAACAAUUACAGCUUUCAACUAGUUAACGCCUACAAUUAAACUGCUUAUUGUACAACUGAGAUGAUAGUUUAGAUACAAUUUGACUAAUUUACAGUUACGAGUGACGACUGAAGAGAGCUGAGAGUUGAGAGAUGAGUGACGAGUCGAGUCAGCGAGAUGAGUGACGAGUCGGCGUCGGCGAGAUGAGUGACGAGUCGGCGUCGGCGAUCAACAUAUGUGUAAUCUGCAUUACUGAGAAAGGUGAGUCGGCAUCGGAGUCGGCGUAUGUAAAUGUGUAAUAUUAUCAAUUUAGGGAUUUAUCAUCAAUUGAUAGGAAAUUAGUAAUUUGGCCGACUGGGAAUGGGUAAUUGGGUUUGGAAUUUGGGUAGUUGGGCUGAGACUUAGGAAAUUGGAUAGUUGGGCUGAAAAUACUAGUUUGUGAGCUACUGGGAUGGGCCGACUAGGAAUGGGUAACAUAUAUACAUAUACAAAAUUUUGAUUUUUCGGUUAAUCGAAUUUUUAAAUCUAAAAACCAAAAACUGAACCGGGAAAUUGAAAUAUUAAAAUUUUAAAUCGAAACCGAGUGAAAUAACCGAAAAACCAAAACCAAAAUUAAAAAAAAUGGUUCGGUCGGUUUUUUUCAGUUUAAACCAUAUUAUGCCCUAUCCCUACUUAGGUCAAAGAAGAAAUCAUAGACCAAAAGUAAUUCUUUUUAGUUGUUCAUAGUUUUCGAUAGCGUGUUAGCUUUUUAAGCAUCGAAGUUCCUCAUUCAAUUUUGGAUCAUCUUCAUAAAAGUAAAUGCUAUUCAAAUUCAUUUUGCAUCUUCCGUGGAUAAUCCUAACAAAAAGAAAUAUAAAUCAGAAAAAAGAAAUUAGAAGUCCUAAUUGACAAUAAAACAAACAAGACGAACAAAAAAAAUCGAAAGUAAAGAAAAUAAUUCAUUUAAUCUAAAACUUGCCCAUGAAUCCCUUCAAUAGUGAUACUUUCAGAUUUGUAUUCGAGUAAAAGAUAAAGAAGGUAAAAUGAAAUGAUAUGUGGGUAUUCGAGCGAAAGAGAAAG
Molecule: long non-coding RNA, 1055 nt
Filed under: Solanum lycopersicum (tomato)
Lineage: Eukaryota; Viridiplantae; Streptophyta; Magnoliopsida; Solanales; Solanaceae
Description: long non-coding RNA (SLYC_LNC000539)
Source: RNAcentral